RNAcentral lists this ribosomal RNA (494 nucleotides) under uncultured bacterium. RNAcentral's name for it is "bacterial SSU rRNA". It matches the Rfam family "Bacterial small subunit ribosomal RNA", at positions 21 to 507 of the family's 1533-position model. The record is from RNAcentral.
GGCUCAGGAUGAACGCUAGCGGCAGGCUUAAUACAUGCAAGUCGAGGGGCAGCACGGCAGCAAUGCUGGUGGCGACCGGCGCACGGGUGCGUAACGCGUAUGCAACCUACCUUUGACAGUGGGAUAGCCCCGAGAAAUCGGGAUUAAUACCGCAUAACAAUGCGAUUUGGCAUCAGAUUGCAUUUAAAACUCCGGUGGUCAAAGAUGGGCAUGCGUGACAUUAGCUGGUUGGUAAGGUAACGGCUUACCAAGGCGACGAUCUGUAGCGGGUCUGAGAGGAUGAUCCGCCACACUGGAACUGAGACACGGUCCAGACUCCUACGGGAGGCAGCAGUGGGGAAUUUUGGACAAUGGGCGCAAGCCUGAUCCAGCCAUGCCGCGUGAGUGAAGAAGGCCUUCGGGUUGUAAAGCUCUUUCGGCCGGGAAGAAAUCGCAUGGGUUAAUACCCUGUGUGGAUGACGGUACCGGAAUAAGAAGCACCGGCUAACUACGUG